Molecule: long non-coding RNA, 167 nt
Organism: Rhodamnia argentea
Lineage: Eukaryota; Viridiplantae; Streptophyta; Magnoliopsida; Myrtales; Myrtaceae
Exons: 3
Source: RefSeq, a predicted model, not a curated record
UGGUCGAGCUGAGAAGUUUGCGUCUGAUUGUGUUCGUCAAGCUCGUUCGUUGUCCCGAAGAUGAUUAACUGGCGUGAAGAACCCUAGAAAUUGCUCUGCAAGAGAGAAUUUCUCAGAGACCUUGAGAGAGAGAGAGAGAGAGAGAGAGAGAGAGAGAGAGAGAGAGG